CAGCAGCCGCGGUAAUGCGUAGGGUGCAAGCGUUAAUCGGAAUUACUGGGCGUAAAGCGUGCGCAGGCGGUUUGUUAAGACAGAUGUGAAAUCCCCGGGCUUAACCUGGGAACUGCAUUUGUGACUGGCGAGCUAGAGUAUGGCAGAGGGGGGUAGAAUUCCACGUGUAGCAGUGAAAUGCGUAGAGAUGUGGAGGAAUACCGAUGGCGAAGGCAGCCCCCUGGGCCAAUACUGACGCUCAUGCACGAAAGCGUGGGGAGCAAACAGGAUUAGAGACCCCUGUAGUCCCUGUCUCUUAUAC
RNAcentral lists this ribosomal RNA (301 nucleotides) under uncultured bacterium. RNAcentral's name for it is "partial 16S ribosomal RNA". It matches the Rfam family "Bacterial small subunit ribosomal RNA", at positions 509 to 807 of the family's 1533-position model. The record is from RNAcentral.